GGAUGAACGCUGGCGGCGUGCCUAAUACAUGCAAGUCGAGCGAACAGACGAGGAGCUUGCUCCUCUGACGUUAGCGGCGGACGGGUGAGUAACACGUGGAUAACCUACCUAUAAGACUGGGAUAACUUCGGGAAACCGGAGCUAAUACCGGAUAAUAUAUUGAACCGCAUGGUUCAAUAGUGAAAGACGGUUUUGCUGUCACUUAUAGAUGGAUCCGCGCCGCAUUAGCUAGUUGGUAAGGUAACGGCUUACUAAGGCAACGAUGCGUAGCCGACCUGAGAGGGUGAUCGGCCACACUGGAACUGAGACACGGUCCAGACUCCUACGGGAGGCAGCAGUAGGGAAUCUUCCGCAAUGGGCGAAAGCCUGACGGAGCAACGCCGCGUGAGUGAUGAAGGUCUUCGGAUCGUAAAACUCUGGUAUUAGGGAAGAACAAAUGUGUAAGUAACUAUGCACGUCUUGACGGUACCUAAUCAGAAAGCCACGGCUAACUACGUG
This 498-nucleotide ribosomal RNA is filed under the name uncultured bacterium. Its description in RNAcentral is "partial 16S ribosomal RNA". It matches the Rfam family "Bacterial small subunit ribosomal RNA", at positions 27 to 507 of the family's 1533-position model. The record is from RNAcentral.